RNAcentral lists this transfer RNA (67 nucleotides) under uncultured Duodenibacillus sp. It matches the Rfam family "tRNA". From Rfam's summary of the family: Transfer RNA (tRNA) molecules are approximately 80 nucleotides in length. Lineage: Bacteria; Pseudomonadati; Pseudomonadota; Betaproteobacteria; Burkholderiales; Sutterellaceae. The record is from RNAcentral.
CCCAUAGCUCAGUUGGUUAGAGCAGAGGACUCAUAAUCCUUUGGUCGAAGGUUCAAGCCCUUCUGGG